Molecule: ribosomal RNA, 435 nt
Filed under: uncultured Enterobacteriaceae bacterium
Lineage: Bacteria; Pseudomonadati; Pseudomonadota; Gammaproteobacteria; Enterobacterales; Enterobacteriaceae
Description: bacterial SSU rRNA
Rfam family: Bacterial small subunit ribosomal RNA
Source: RNAcentral
UGGGGAAUAUUGCACAAUGGGCGCAAGCCUGAUGCAGCCAUGCCGCGUGUAUGAAGAAGGCCUUCGGGUUGUAAAAGUACUUUCAGCGGGGAGGAAGGCGUUGUGGGUUAAUAACCACAGCGAUUGACGUUACCCGCAGAAGAAGCACCGGCUAACUCCGUGCCAGCAGCCGCGGUAAUACGGAGGGUGCAAGCGUUAAUCGGAAUUACUGGGCGUAAAGCGCACGCAGGCGGUCUGUCAAGUCGGAUGUGAAAUCCCCGGGCUCAACCUGGGAACUGCAUUCGAAAACUGGCAGGCUAGAGUCUUGUAGAGGGGGGUAGAAUUCCAGGUGUAGCGGUGAAAUGCGUAGAGAUCUGGAGGAAUACCGGUGGCGAAGGCGGCCCCCCUGGACAAAAGACUGACGCUCAGGUGCGAAAAGCGUGGGGGAGCAAAACA